Molecule: long non-coding RNA, 450 nt
Filed under: Rosa chinensis
Lineage: Eukaryota; Viridiplantae; Streptophyta; Magnoliopsida; Rosales; Rosaceae
Description: sRNA RchiOBHm_Chr1g0352311
Source: RNAcentral
ACCCCGCCCGACCCCAAAACCAAAACUCAAACCCUAAGAGGCUAAGCUCAGUCUCGACCUCCAUUUUGAACCCAUACUCGAGCUCCUCCCAAAACUCGACUCAGUCGAACUCGCGGCCACUGUUAACCUUCAUCCAGUCCUUCAUCUUACGCGCCUCCCACUACGACAACGUCCGCUGCUGCCCUUCAUCAACUCUCGCUGUUGCCCUCCCCCUGCCAAACCAAUAAUGUCGACGCCGACCAAGCAUUGUGCUCCGAGGAGGAGGAGGACAUCAUCCAGGCUUUUCUAAACGGCUACGUUCCGUCUUAGUCUCUCGAUUUAAAGGUCGGCAACUGCAAGAAAUCGGCAGCGAUUCGGCGCUAGUGGCUUCAAAGAACGACCGGGAGGCCACUGGGUAAUACAGGGCGACUGUCGAAGGUGCAGAUCUGGACUCUUUAAGGAGACGAAGUA